AGGUCUAGGUGGCAAGGGCGUCCU
This 24-nucleotide microRNA is filed under the name Mus musculus (house mouse). Its description in RNAcentral is "mmu-miR-5135". The record is from miRBase by way of RNAcentral. Lineage: Eukaryota; Metazoa; Chordata; Mammalia; Rodentia; Muridae.